This is a non-coding RNA of Taeniopygia guttata (zebra finch), 1079 nucleotides long. The record is from RefSeq and is a predicted model, not a curated record. Lineage: Eukaryota; Metazoa; Chordata; Aves; Passeriformes; Estrildidae.
CCCCCACCCCCCGCGUGAGGGGAGCCGGCGCCAUCUUCCCCCUCACGGGCCGUGCUGCCCGUGGGCGGCGGGAUGGGGUCACCGGGCGUUGGGGUUUUAGACUCGUCAAUGUCAGAAGAGACCCGCAGGACCAUCCACAGUCCGACUGUCAGCGCAGCAGCACCACGAAACUACAUCGGGUGCCUCUUCCAACACCUCCAGGCAGCGUGACUCCACCACCUCCCUGGGGUGCACUGGAACAAAGCUGAUCAUCCCAGCAGAUAUUUCUGCCCACGCUGGCCUUAACAUAAAAGAGGAGGAAAAGCCAUAGGCAAGCUCAUCAAACAUGCCUAGGAAUGGACAACAUUAAAUUAAUUGUUUGAAACCAUGUUUCUCCCUCUACAAGCUGCAUUUUCCACUUUAAAUAUUCACAGGCCAGUGUUUUCCCCAGAUUUCACAUUUGUUUCUUGCUGCGUGCAUUCCAAGACUUAGUUGUCUCUUUUUUUGAUUGUUUUUUUCAGCAGAGCUGGAGCUGGAGAAGGAGAAGCCAUUUAACGUGGAGCCGUGGAACAGAUGUUGAGCACUCCACUUGUAGGCUCACAAAGCCAGGACAUCUGUUAGAAAUAUGUGAGCAGAGAGGCCAUUAAGCCUCUUAGAUGCUGCCGUGAUCCUCUGCCUUUCCUACAUCCUCUUCCAAGUUACACUGAGGUGUAAGGGAAUAGUCCCAUCCCUCACCACCUCCACCAUUCCCAGUCCAUGUUUUUCUGCUUCCAGCCUGGUGCUUCCACACAGUUGAUUCAGGAUCAUUGACCCAAGCAGGUUCUUUUUUUGUUUCAGGGUUUUCAGGACAAAAAGGAAGGGGGGUGAGCUUUUUGUUGGCCUCUUCACAGAGCAGCAGAGAUUUCUCUUAGCAUCAGCCUCCCUCGCAGGGUCCUGCUACAGGCUGGUGUGGCAGAGCAGUUUAACGCAGAACAACCAGAAACAACACAUGGUGAAGCACUGACCCAUAAUGCAAUUAGCAGCCUUCCCCAGAAGCAUUUUUCAAUACCCCAGGGCACUCAGAAUUUGCUGACUGUUUGAUUUGUGCUGCCCCAAAUUCC